This 725-nucleotide ribosomal RNA is filed under the name uncultured bacterium. RNAcentral describes it as "bacterial SSU rRNA". It matches the Rfam family "Bacterial small subunit ribosomal RNA", at positions 92 to 812 of the family's 1533-position model. The record is from RNAcentral.
UUAGCGGCGGACGGGUGAGUAAUGCUUAGGAAUCUGCCAUUUAGUGGGGGACAACAUUCCGAAAGGAAUGCUAAUACCGCAUACGUCCUACGGGAGAAAGCAGGGGAUCUUCGGACCUUGCGCUAAAUGAUGAGCCUAAGUCGGAUUAGCUAGUUGGUGGGGUAAAGGCCUACCAAGGCGACGAUCUGUAGCGGGUCUGAGAGGAUGAUCCGCCACACUGGGACUGAGACACGGCCCAGACUCCUACGGGAGGCAGCAGUGGGGAAUAUUGGACAAUGGGCGGAAGCCUGAUCCAGCCAUGCCGCGUGUGUGAAGAAGGCCUUUUGGUUGUAAAGCACUUUAAGCGAGGAGGAGGCUACUAGUACUAAUACUACUGGAUAGUGGACGUUACUCGCAGAAUAAGCACCGGCUAACUCUGUGCCAGCAGCCGCGGUAAUACAGAGGGUGCGAGCGUUAAUCGGAUUUACUGGGCGUAAAGCGUGCGUAGGCGGCUUUUUAAGUCGGAUGUGAAAUCCCCGAGCUUAACUUGGGAAUUGCAUUCGAUACUGGGAAGCUAGAGUAUGGGAGAGGAUGGUAGAAUUCCAGGUGUAGCGGUGAAAUGCGUAGAGAUUUGGAGGAAUACCGAUGGCGAAGGCAGCCAUCUGGCCUAAUACUGACGCUGAGGUACGAAAGCAUGGGGAGCAAACAGGAUUAGAUACCCUGGUAGUCCAUGCCGUAAACGAUGU